Ictalurus punctatus (channel catfish) is the source of this 2314-nucleotide non-coding RNA. The record is from the annotation of a RefSeq genome assembly. NCBI's taxonomy places the organism in Eukaryota, Metazoa, Chordata, Actinopteri, Siluriformes, Ictaluridae.
GCUGCAUCACGCGCGAUUUGGCCUCCGCCGACGGACUGAGCUUCAUAUGGAAGGAUGCGAGCGGGAGCGCGCUGACUGACGUCGUGCAAUACCGGAGGGUACACCUCGGUGAGCCAUAUGCGCAUCAUGGCUUCUGACUGGAACGGGAACAAGAAGUUCACGUACGAAAUCAAAAAUGGCCUAGGAUCUAAAGACGCGUCCUUGCAAAAGCCAGGUGUGUUUCACUCCAUCUCAGAGAUGCAGAUGACUUAGACUGCUUCUUUUGGAAGAUUUUACCUUUGGCCUGCUUGUUGCCUAACGCUCCCAUCUGCUGUUUGCUGUGCUCACUGAAGCCUGUCCUGCACUCCUUCCUCUAGCGACACCACAAAACACCAAAAACUGUGGAAAAAAAAAAAAACCAUGCACGCACACACACACUCUUCAUAUCAGAUCUGAGCCCAACAUCACCAUGAGCACCAGUACAAUGGACAACGACGUUAAUCUGCUUUGUUGGUUGGAUGGUUUUUCUCCGAAAAAAAUAAGUGUUGAGUGGUACAAGGGUAAUACGUUGCACACAGAGAAAGCAACCAUGAAGAUAUUCGAAAGUCUCAACAAUGGAGAAAGGACGUUUGAUGCACUGAGCCAACUCAGCAUUAAUUCAGAGCAAUGGAAUGAGGGCACAGAGUUCACCUGUAAAGCCACACACAACUCCAAGAUCUUCAGUCAAACGUGGAGCAAGUGCAAAGCUGAACCAACAUCCAAACCACUGAUACGUCUGGAGAAACCUGCACUCAUGUCAGUAUUGACAGAUUCAGAAGUAACAGCUUUCUGUGUUGUUGAAACUGUGCUCAAUACCAGAGUGUCAUGGUUUGUAGAUGGAAGGGAAAAAACGAACAGAGUCACCUUGAAGACACUGGACGGGAGAACUGUUAGCAACCUGACUAUCUCUACAAACGAAUGGAAAAACUGGCAGACAAUAAAAUGCACAGCUAAACAUCCAUGUUUUGACAUAGUAGAGAAGACAAUUAAUAUUCUAGAACCUGUGCAGAAAACUCCUACAGUGGUGAUCAGGAGGAAUCUGGCAGACAUACUGAAGGGAGACAGUGCAGUACUGGAGUGUGCUGCAAGAGAUCUGCCCUCUGGUGAGCUCUCGGUCAUCUUACAGGCCAAUGGAAUAAGGGUCCUUGAACCUCAGUAUGUGGAUCUGCCCAAAGGAGUGGACACUCUGACUGUACGCUUCACUGUUCCCACAACACACAGAAACAAAAACCAACGGUUCACCUGUCAGAUUCAGCAAAGCCGUUCCAAACAGUGGACGUCCAAUUCUAUAGAAAACCUUUUUGGUGGCCAUAUUGGUAGACUCGGGCGUGAACAGAACUUGGCUGUGCGUGUCAGCAGACUCGGGCUUUGGCUGAACUUGGGCGGUCGUGUCGGCAGACUCCGGCGUGGGCUGAACUUGGGCAACCGGGUCGGCAGACUCGGGCGUGGGCUGAACUUGGUCAGCAGGUUUGGACAUGAGCAUGACUUGGUCAGCAGGCUUGGACAUGAGCAUGACUUGGUCAACCGGGUCAGCAGGCUUCAACGUGAACAGAACUUGGUUAACAGGCUUGGGUGUGCGCCGAGCUUGGUUGUCCGUGUUAUCAACUUGGUAGCUCAUCCGCUCAUAAUGCAUGGGGAAUGGAAGAUCAGCACUGUUCGCCACAUUAACUCCCUUGAACAGCUCAUCCAAGUUGUAGCUCUGCCCUGGUUCUCCAAACUCCCUCAGAAACAGGUCCGAAAACUGCCUACUGUCCUCCAGUACCCGGGGUCUCAUGGCUGCUACUCGCUGUGCCCAAUUGUGAGCUGGGCCAAAAAAUCUGGACAUCAUGAACUUAAUCCACUGUCUCUCCUUUGGCUUCGGGUCAAACAGGCUUGAGAAGUAACUCUGGCAGUCUAUCAUAAAAUAGUCCAGAUAACCAAAGAAGCCAUCAUACCGAUCGGGAAGGUCUAUGAAAGUCCAUUGUGAAAACUGCACAGAAUCCAAGGCGGGGAUGAUUGGCGCGGACCUCCGGGUUCUGCGUCCUCUUCGUCCUCGUGCUACAUUCAUGAUGGGCGGAAUAUUCUGUCAUGUAUCGUGACGUAACAGAUAAGGUAGGAUGCAAUCGCAGUAUGAACGGUUUUAUUUAAGAGAGUGACAGGCAGACAAAUCCAAAACGUGAUCCACAAACGUAAUCCAGUAACAUGCAAAGUUCAGGCGAUCGGCAAACAGGAAUAAAGGGGCGAGGCAGGAAUCAAGGUCACGGUCACGGAAAUACAGGAUCGAGAAACAAAACAAGAAACAUGAACUGUAGCGCGG